GAAUUUGCAUUUACAAUUCCAAAUAUGCACUCGUGCUAAGACGAAAGAAUGUCUGUUCGCUUUCAAGCUGGGUUUGGCAUGACCUCUAGGUUUUAAUAUUUUCAACAAAGUGUCAUUUGACAAUUCAACCACAUUUAGAAAGAAGAGAAAAGUGAAUGUCCUCUCAUACACGUGCCGACUGGAUUGAGAGUCAGAUGAGAAGACUUAGCCCAGAGCCAUCGACUUUAUUUUAUCUUUUGCUUUCACCCGUUAUUUAAUUUUUUAAAAUCUCCACAGAAACACAAUCAUUUUCAUUUCUAGGUCUUAACUUCUGUUUUGGUUACGAGGGUCAACAUGAGGCUUCCUAAGAAGACCAGGGAAUCUGCAUUUCCUGAUGCAAAAGCAUUAAGCCAAGUGGUUUUCCCUGUCUGUCUCCAUGUCUUGCAUCCAACCCAGCCUCCCUACCUUCCCCAUCCUAGCUCCAACAGGAAGGGGAUCUAAUCACAGCCAAAUCUCCCAGGUGUAGAUUUUGUCAGAGGGCAAUACCCCAUAAAUGCUACAAGACUUCCGGGGACUCUGUUCUUUGCCCCCAAGCAAUGGUGAAUAGUGGCUUCCAAAGGCCCCCUUGGAGUCUCAGGUCAUCCCGCAGGCAGGGAGCCCAGUUGUGAUGGGUGCAGUCCCUUGAGAGGCCAGGAGGAGGGUGUCUUGUCCUUCAGAAGUCCUGUUAUGGGCCGCGGUCCCCCUAGCACGGAAGGCUCUGUCCUGAUGAAUGUGUGGAAUUGGCUCCACGACUCAGCCUGCAGAUCUGCUUGUCACAAUAAUCAAUGACGCCUCAGGCUGUGCCACCCAGCUCCGUUUUACUUAGAAGUCGGUGGAACAGUGGGAUUCCUCAUGAUGGCUUCAUUCAGCACUCCAGCAGGCCUGUGGGCACAGGACGGGGACCCCCUGCUGGUGUGAUUGGUGGGGGAUGCCAGACUUGGAGCUGAUAUCUUCCCUCAAGAGAUCCUGCAACUGUGUCGGGCAACCUUACAGCCCAGGAAGGUGCAGGCAGCCACCCUCCCACCUUGAUACCUCCUGGGCUUAAUGGCCUUUAUUUGCACUGUGAACUGAUGGGACUCACCUGUACCAGAGAGGAAUGCAAUUGAGUGACAUCCUCCAAGCACCUGGAAAGGCCACCACUUAGUGCCAUAUUUGCAGUGCUUCCCAGCAACGUCCACCUGUGUGUCCUUAACAGCGGAGGCGAGGGAGGAUGUCUGAAAAUUCUUUGAAGUGUUAUAUUUUAUCUAAAAAAAAAAAAAAGUUUGUGAGGCCAGGUGCAAUGGCUCAUGCCUGUAAUCCCAGCACUUCGGGAGGCUGGGGUGGGUGGAUCGCUUGAGGCCAGGAGUUCAAGACCAGCCUGGCCAAAAUGGCGAAACCCUGCCUCAGGUAGAAAUACAGAAAUUAGCCCGGCGCUGUGGCGGGCGCUUGUAAUCCCAGCUACUCAGGAGGCUGAGGCAGAUGCGUCACUUGAGCCUGGAAGGUGGAGGUUGCAGUGAGCCAAAAUCGCACCACUGUACUCCAGCCUGGGCAACAGAGCGAAACUCUGUCUCAAAAAAAAAAAAAAAAAAAAAAGUUUGUGGAAAAUUACAUUCUACUUCAUCACAUAUCUGUUUCUUUCUACUUCUUUUUUCUAAAAAAUUAUAGUAAAAUAUGCAUACCAUAAAAUUUGCAAUCUUAACCAUUUUUAAGUGUACAGUUCAGUGGCGUUAAGUACAUUCGCGUUGUUGUGCAACCAUGCUGCCAUCCAUCCGUAUGGCCUAUAAAUCCUAAAAGAUCUGGCUGUGAUCAGACCCCCUUCCUGGUGGAGCUGGGAUGGGGUAUGGUAGGGAUGCAAGGUUGAAGGGGAGAGAUGAAGAGAGACCGGAUUCUUUUUCACAUUACAAACUGAAACUUUAUACCCAUUAAACAUUCAUUUCCUGCCAGGCACGGUGGCUCAAGCCCAUGAUUCCAGCACUUUGGGAGGCUGAGGUGGGCGAAUCGCUUGAGGCCAGGAGUUCGAGACCAGCUUGGCCAGCAUGGUGAAACCUUGUCUCUACUAAAAAUACAAAAAGUAGCUGGGUGUGGUGCCACAUGCCUGUAAUCCCAGCUACUCGGGAGGCUGAGGCAGGAGAAUCGCUUGAACCCAGGAGGUGGAGGUUCCCGUGAGUUGAGAUUGCACCACUGCACUUAAGCCUGGGUGACACAGAGAGACUUCGUCUCAAAAAUAAUAAAACUAAAAUAAAAUAAAAUAAAAAUGAAAAAGAUUCAUCCCCACUCCCUGCUCCUCAACCCCUUGCAACACAAUUUUUUCUGUCUCUAUGAAUUUGACUGCUCUAAAUACCUCAUAUGAGUGGAAUCAUACAGUAUUUGUCUUUUUGGUGAUAUUUCACUCAGUGUAAUGUUCUCAAGGUUCAUCUAAGUUGUAGGAAUUUCCUUCUUUUUUAAGUCGGAAUUUCUUUCUUUUUUAAGACUAAUAUCCCAUUGUACAUUUGUACCACAUUUUGUUUCUGUAUCUGUGUCUUUUAAAUAAAAUGUCUUACAUUACUCACCAGUUAAAUGAGGUAUUCACAUUAUAAUAAGGCCUGACAUGUAAGGCCAGGCCCUAGCAAACUUUUUCUUAAAGGAGCAGAUAAUAAAUAUUUCAGGCUUUACAGGCCGUAAGGCCUCCAUUGCAAUCACACAACUGUGAAAUUCUUCUGUUGCAGCACUAAAGCCACGACAGACCACAUGUAAAUGAAUGGAUGGAGCUGUAUUCCAAUAAAACUUUGUUUACAAAAACAGGCAGUGUGACAGAUUUGGCCUGUGGUGAGUGGUUUUCAGACCCCUGGUCUAGGAAGUCAAUCUGGUGUAUCAUUAAGAACGUAGGCUUUGGUGUCAAUGGAAUGAGUUUUUCAAUUCACACAAAAAAACCUUUUUCUUCUUCAGGGUUCACAUAUGUCCCAGGGUACCCAACUGGAUUACUCUGCCCAGAACUGCCCUCACCCCUGAUCUUCAGGUCCUGCGACUGAAUCUGACACACUCUGGUCAAACUCCUCCCCAAAUGAUUGAUUUUUUUUUUCUUGGAUGACUCACAGGUCCUCCCCAACAUGACCACCCAAAGUUGAACACAUAUGCCUGCGAGUGACUGAGUGAUGAUUGUGUACAAGAAGGUUGAUAUGGUUUGGCUAUGUCCCCACUCAAAAUCUCAUCUUGAAUUUCAAUUCCUGUAAUCCCCACGUAUCAGGGGAGAGACCAGGUGGAGGUAAUUGAAUCCUGGGGACGAUUUCCCCCAUACUGUUCUCAUGAUAGUGAAUUCUCAAGAGAUCGGAUGGUUUUGUGUUUGGAGUUCCUCCUGUAUUCAUUCUCCUUCCUGCCACCUUGUGAAGAAGGUGCCUUCCUUCCCCUUUGCCUUCCGCCAUGAUUGUAAGUUUCCUGAGACUUCCCUAGCCAUGCUGAACUGUGCAUCAACUAAACCUCUUUUCUUUAUAAAUUACCCAAUCUCAAGUAUUUCCUUAUAGCAAUGUGAGAAUGGACUAAUACCAAGUUUUCCCUGCAGCACGUCUUCAGUCCUGACAUAGGCCCAGAUGGGUACAGACACUUGGGGAAUUGAGUGUCGCUACUGCAGAUGCUAAGAGUACCCAAAGGCCAGUCCUGGCCCAAAUAAAAACUCUGCAUCACUCUGUUACAGUAAAAUCUUUGUAGUUGUUUGCAAAGUGUCUAUUCCCAUCAUGGAAGGGAUUUUUACUGGGGACAGUUGGCACUUUAUCUUGGCCUCCCAGAGAUUCUGACUCUAAACCGAGAAUGCCAAACGAUGUAUCUGAUGCCUCCACCAAUAUCUCAGGAGGAGAAUACGUGAGUUUGGGAACCAGGUAGGUUGUAUAACCUCCAAAACAAGGUUUCCAAGUGGAGGCUUUCUCCCCUGUCUUCUGGACAGUCUUAAGAUAUUUUAAAAAAUUAUCUAGGUAUAACUGACAUAUAAUAAGCUGCACAUAAAGCAUAUAAUUUGAUGAAUUUUGACAUAGGUCUAUAGCAAUAAAACCAUCACUACAACCAAGAUAGUGAACAGAUCCAUCUCCUGCAAAGUUUCCUCAUACUCCUUGGUAAUCCCUCCCUAUCUCUCCAACACCCUUCUCCCCAGGUAACCACUGAUCCACUUUCUAUUAGUUUGCAUUGUUUGGAGUUUUGUGUAAAUGGAUUCAUAUAAUACGUACUCUUUUUUGGUUCACUUUUUUCGCUAAACAUUUUGAGAUUCAUCUAUGUCAUUGAAUGAUCAAUAGCUUAUUUCUUUUUAUUGCUGAAUAGUAGUCUGCUGUUUGUAUAUG
Molecule: long non-coding RNA, 4298 nt
Filed under: Homo sapiens (human)
Lineage: Eukaryota; Metazoa; Chordata; Mammalia; Primates; Hominidae
Description: HSALNT0244002
Source: RNAcentral